RNAcentral lists this transfer RNA (76 nucleotides) under Klebsiella pneumoniae. Its description in RNAcentral is "tRNA-Gly". It matches the Rfam family "tRNA". Rfam says of the family: Transfer RNA (tRNA) molecules are approximately 80 nucleotides in length. Their secondary structure includes four short double-helical elements and three loops (D, anti-codon, and T loops). Lineage: Bacteria; Pseudomonadati; Pseudomonadota; Gammaproteobacteria; Enterobacterales; Enterobacteriaceae. The record is from RNAcentral.
GCGGGCGUAGUUCAAUGGUAGAACGAGAGCUUCCCAAGCUCUAUACGAGGGUUCGAUUNCCCUNUCGCCCGCUCCA